This 353-nucleotide ribosomal RNA is filed under the name Elysia diomedea. RNAcentral describes it as "partial large subunit ribosomal RNA". It matches the Rfam family "Archaeal large subunit ribosomal RNA", at positions 2051 to 2675 of the family's 2987-position model. The record is from RNAcentral. Lineage: Eukaryota; Metazoa; Mollusca; Gastropoda; Plakobranchidae.
UUUUAAAUGGAGUCGGGAAUGAAUGGAUUUAUGGGGUGAAACUGUCUCCUUUAUAUUAUAUUGAACUUACUCAAUAGGUGAAAAUGCCUAUAAAUAGAAAAAAGACGAGAAGACCCUAGGAGUUUUUACUAAAUGUUAAAUUUCAUAUUAACUGUUGUUUUUGUUGGGGCGACAAGGGAGCAUUAAGAAUAAACCUCCUCUUUUAAUUUGCCGACAUAGUAUGAGAAAAUAAACUACCCUAGGGAUAACAGCGUAAUUCUUAAGAGCUUGCGACCUCGAUGUUGGACUAGGAAUUUGGUAGGCUAGCCGCCUAUUUAUAUUGUUCUGUUCGAACUGUUUUUCCUACGUGAUCU